This 369-nucleotide ribosomal RNA is filed under the name uncultured eukaryote. Its description in RNAcentral is "partial 18S ribosomal RNA". It matches the Rfam family "Eukaryotic small subunit ribosomal RNA", at positions 592 to 976 of the family's 1831-position model. The record is from RNAcentral.
CAAUAGCGUAUAUUAAAGUUGUUGCAGUUAAAAAGCUCGUAGUUGAACUUUGGGCCUGGCAGGCCGGUCCGCUUUUUGGCGAGUACUGACCCUGCCGGGCCUUUCCUUCUGGCUAACCUCCCCUCUGGAGAGGCGAACCAGGACUUUUACUUUGAAAAAAUUAGAGUGUUCAAAGCAGGCCUUUGCUCGAAUGUAUUAGCAUGGAAUAAUAGAAUAGGACGUUUGGUUCUAUUUUGUUGGUUUCUAGGACCAUCGUAAUGAUUAAUAGGGACGGUCGGGGGCAUCAGUAUUCAGUUGUCAGAGGUGAAAUUCUUGGAUUUACUGAAGACUAACUACUGCGAAAGCAUUUGCCAAGGACGUUUUCAUUAA